Molecule: small RNA, 477 nt
Filed under: Pan troglodytes (chimpanzee)
Lineage: Eukaryota; Metazoa; Chordata; Mammalia; Primates; Hominidae
Description: retained intron
Source: RNAcentral
CUUUGUGGUCUGGGCUGUUUGUAUAGUUAAUUGUGCCUUCCAUGUACAUGAAAUCAAUUCAUUUAAUUGGAUAUUGUGUUUGGCAGAAGGUGGUACCUACACAUGAUAAUGUUGCUGCUCGUUUCUUUGUUAACACGAGUUUAAAACAAAGGAUGGAUAACUUCCUUUUCUAAUGCCCAGGGUUUUUCAUUGAUUUUCCUGAUUGGUGCUCCCUUGCUUCUAGGUUGGGUACACCCCAGACUGGAUCUUUCUGCUGAGGGGUGUAAUGAAGAUCAGUCCGGAACAGGGCCUGCAGUUUUCUCGAAUGCUAGUGCAGGACGAGGAGCCGCUGGCCAACAUUAGCCAGAUUGUGGACAUUUUCAUGGAAAACAGUUUAAUUCAGCAGUGUACUUCCUUCUUAUUGGAUGCCUUGAAGAAUAAUCGCCCAGCUGAGGGACUCCUGCAGACAUGGCUGUUGGAGAUGAACCUUGUUCAUGC